UUUUUUUAAUUUAUUAUUUUAUUUAUGAAACCCUAAAAAAUAAAAUACUUUCUUCACUCACUGUGUAUACCAAAAAAGUAAUCUCUGCUCUCACAAAUCACUCUCAUUGUACUUGCUCUCAUUUGACGGUGCUCUGACCCUCACUUCACUGAAAUUCUUCAAGGAGCAGAUAAAACACCCUUCCUUUUUUCUUCUUCUUUCUCCAUAUUUUUGUUUUCUCACU
Molecule: long non-coding RNA, 223 nt
Filed under: Vigna radiata
Lineage: Eukaryota; Viridiplantae; Streptophyta; Magnoliopsida; Fabales; Fabaceae
Description: long non-coding RNA (VRAD_LNC007200)
Source: RNAcentral